CAGCAGCCGCGGUAAUACCGGCGGCCCGAGUGGCGGCCACUAUUAUUGGGCUUAAAGCGUCCGUAGCCGGGUUGGGAAGUCCUCCGGGAAAUCUGGCCGCUUAACGGUCAGAAUUCCGGGAGAUACUGCCAGCCUAGGGACCGGGAGAGGCCGAGGGUAUUCCCGGAGUAGGGGUGAAAUCCUAUAAUCCCGGGAGGACCACCUGUGGCGAAGGCGCUCGGCUGGAACGGGUCCGACGGUGAGGGACGAAGGCCAGGGGAGCAAACCGGAUUAGAUACCCGGGUAGUCCUGGCUGUAAACGAUGCGGACUUUGUGUCGGACAAGCUAUGAGCUUGUCCGGUGCCGGAGGGAAACCGUUAAGUCCGCCGCCUGGGGAGUACGGCCGCAAGGCUGAAACUUAAAGGAAUUGGCGGG
RNAcentral lists this ribosomal RNA (414 nucleotides) under uncultured microorganism. RNAcentral's name for it is "bacterial SSU rRNA". It matches the Rfam family "Archaeal small subunit ribosomal RNA", at positions 459 to 872 of the family's 1478-position model. The record is from RNAcentral.